This 463-nucleotide ribosomal RNA is filed under the name uncultured bacterium. RNAcentral describes it as "partial 16S ribosomal RNA". It matches the Rfam family "Bacterial small subunit ribosomal RNA", at positions 28 to 507 of the family's 1533-position model. The record is from RNAcentral.
GACGAACGCUGGCGGCGUGCUUAACACAUGCAAGUCGAACGGUGAACCUCUUCGGAGGGUAUCAGUGUCGUACGGGUGAGUAACACGUGGGCAACCUGCCCCCGUCUCUGUGAUAACUCCAAGACAUCGGGGCUCCUACCGUAUGUUCACCGCUUCCCUCAUGGGUCGUGGUGCAAAGGGUUUCCGGCUGGGGAUGGGCCCUCGGCCUAUCAGCUUGUUGGUGUGGUAGUGGCCUACCAAGGCCACGCCGGCUAGCCGGCCUGAGAGGGUAACCGGCCACACGAGGACUGAGACAGGGAGCAGACUGGUACGGGAGGCAGCAGUGGGGAAUAUUGCGCAAUGGGCGGAAGCCUGACGCAGCGACGCCGCGUGGGGGAUGACGGCCUUCGGGGUGUAAACCUCUUUGAGAAGGGACGAAGCGCAAGUGACGGUACCUGCAGAAGAAGCACCGGCCAACUACGUG